Molecule: microRNA precursor, 61 nt
Organism: Haplochromis burtoni (Burton's mouthbrooder)
Lineage: Eukaryota; Metazoa; Chordata; Actinopteri; Cichliformes; Cichlidae
Source: Ensembl
GUGCCAUAUCUGACUGUACGCAAUUGUAUCAUUAUAUUGCGUUAUCAGCGAUAUAGCAAUG